This 254-nucleotide ribosomal RNA is filed under the name uncultured bacterium. RNAcentral's name for it is "partial 16S ribosomal RNA". It matches the Rfam family "Bacterial small subunit ribosomal RNA", at positions 524 to 776 of the family's 1533-position model. The record is from RNAcentral.
UACGGGGGGAGCAAGCGUUGUUCGGAUUUACUGGGCGUAAAGGGCGCGUAGGCGGCCACCGCAAGUCGACUGUGAAAUCUCCGGGCUUAACCCGGAAAGGUCAGCCGAUACUGCGGGGCUAGAGUGCGGAAGGGGCAACUGGAAUUCUUGGUGUAGCGGUGAAAUGCGUAGAUAUCAAGAGGAACACCUGCGGCGAAGGCGGGUUGCUGGGCCGACACUGACGCUGAGGCGCGAAAGCUAGGGGAGCGAACGGG